RNAcentral lists this ribosomal RNA (253 nucleotides) under uncultured bacterium. Its description in RNAcentral is "partial 16S ribosomal RNA". It matches the Rfam family "Bacterial small subunit ribosomal RNA", at positions 524 to 776 of the family's 1533-position model. The record is from RNAcentral.
UACGUAGGGUGCAAGCGUUGUCCGGAAUUAUUGGGCGUAAAGAGCUUGUAGGCGGUUUGUCGCGUCUGCUGUGAAAUUUCGGGGCUCAACCCCGAACUUGCAGUGGGUACGGGCAGACUAGAGUGUGGUAGGGGCUACUGGAAUUCUCGGUGUAGCGGUGAAAUGCGUAGAUAUCGAGAGGAACACCUGCGGCGAAGGCGGGUAGCUGGGCCGACACUGACGCUGAGGCGCGAAAGCCAGGGGAGCGAACGGG